RNAcentral lists this ribosomal RNA (497 nucleotides) under uncultured bacterium. RNAcentral describes it as "partial 16S ribosomal RNA". It matches the Rfam family "Bacterial small subunit ribosomal RNA", at positions 28 to 507 of the family's 1533-position model. The record is from RNAcentral.
GAUGAACGCUGGCGGCGUGCCUAAUACAUGCAAGUCGAGCGCACGGACGAUAAGCUUGCUUCUCUGAUGUUAGCGGCGGACGGGGGAGUAACACGUGGAUAACCUACCUAAAAGACUGGAAUAACGUCGGGAAACCGGAGCUAAUACCGGAUAAUAUUUUGAACCUCAUGGUUCAAAAGUGAAAGACGGUCUUGCUGUCACUUAUAGAUGGAUCCGCGUUGCAUUAGUUAGAUGGUAAGGUAACGGCUUACCAAGGCAACGAGGCAUAGCCGACCUGAGAGGGUGAUCGGCCACCCUGGAACGGAGACACGGUCCAGACUCCUACGGGAGGCAGCAGUAGGGAAUCUUCCGCAAAGGGCGAAAGCCUGACGGAGCAACGCGGCGUGAGUGAUGAAGGUCUUCGGAUCGUAAAACUCUGUUAUUAGGGAAGAACAUAUGUGUAAGUAACUGUGCACAUCUUGACGGUACCUAAUCAGAAAGCCACGGCUAACUACGUG